AUGACUCCUAUGGCAACAGGAUGGUUUCUCCAGAUCUUUAAAGGUGCCAUCAACAACUCACCUGUGACAAUGGACCUCAUCUUUAAGAGAAUGGACCUGAUGGAGAGGAUGUGUUGUGCUUGUUUCUUCAGUCUUCACCCUGUAGACUUUCUGAGGGAAUAACACAAAUGUAUGCAGACUAACAUCAUUCUGGUCGGCUCUGCGUCUGGAGAUGGGUUUACUGAUGAAGCUUUCAGUCUUCAUUCAAACAAAAUUUCAUUCUUGAAUUCUGUGAGUUAAAGGCAGCAAGAUAUUUUGGGUGACAACUAUGGCUAAUUUUAGUGUUUAUAAUAUUUUUUAUUUUUCUCCCAUUUAUUAUCCCUGUAGACUGAAAUCAUGGUUUUGUAUUUAAUGAGAUGUAAUUUCUCAGUCCUUUUUGAGCAGUAGUAUUUCUUUAUUAUAUAAAUAUCUGCUUAAAAAUGGGUGCACUGUAGGAGACCAUAUGAAGAUAUAAUGUCCGACUUAAAAUCAAACAUAGUUUAUCCAGAGGUUAAAGACAAAGUAAAGAGAUCAGGUAGAUGAGAAGAGAGGUGAAUCCAUCAUACUUCCUGACCAGAGUUCUUCAUACAGUGUUUAAACUCUAGGGAUUAAAAACAAAUAAAAAAUACUUUCAGAGAACA
Molecule: long non-coding RNA, 659 nt
Filed under: Anas platyrhynchos platyrhynchos (common mallard)
Lineage: Eukaryota; Metazoa; Chordata; Aves; Anseriformes; Anatidae
Description: lncRNA (ENSAPLG00000027026.1)
Source: RNAcentral